Molecule: microRNA, 21 nt
Filed under: Apopellia endiviifolia
Lineage: Eukaryota; Viridiplantae; Streptophyta; Jungermanniopsida; Pelliales; Pelliaceae
Description: microRNA 8185
Source: RNAcentral
UAAAGAUGAUGGGUUUUGUUG